AGAAUCAACGCUGGCGGCGUGCCUAACACAUGCAAGUCGAACGAGAAAGUGGAGCAAUCCAUGAGUAAAGUGGCGACCGGGUGAGUAACACGUGACUAACCUACCUUCGAGUGGGGGAUAACAUCGGGAAACCGAUGCUAAUACCGCAUAACAUCGCAAGAUCAAAGCAGUAAUGCGCUUGAAGAGGGGGUCGCGGCUGAUUAGCUAGUUGGCGGGUAACGCCCACCAAGGCGAAGAUCGGUAGCCGGCCUGAGAGGGCGCACGGCCACACUGGAACUGAAACACGGUCCAGACUCCUACGGGAGGCAGCAGUGGGGAAUUUUGCGCAAUGGGGGAAACCCUGACGCAGCAACGCCGCGUGGAGGAUGAAGCCCCUUGGGGCGUAAACUCCUUUCGACCAAGACGAUAAUGACGGUACUGGUGGAAGAAGCACCGGCUAACUCUGCGCCAGCAGCCGC
Molecule: ribosomal RNA, 458 nt
Filed under: uncultured bacterium
Lineage: Bacteria
Description: SSU rRNA
Rfam family: Bacterial small subunit ribosomal RNA
Source: RNAcentral